CAAGGCAAAACACGGCACUGGGUGUCUGGGAGAACUGCUCAUUUUCCUGCUGUUGCCCAUCUCCAGCCGACCCCUGUACCAGUGGUGCUGGCAGGAGCUUGCCUGUUCUCUGCUCGGAAACAGCUUGCAGCUCUGGGCACCAUGUUCUGGCAGCUGUGCACUCCCAGCAAGGCAAGAGAGGACGGGAGCUGGCUGGGGGAGAAGCCCGUUCUCCUCCAAAUGACAGAUAGAGAAGCCCUUGGGCAUUGCACUGAGUGGCAGGGGUUUUCUUUCUAGUCUGUCAAGGAACAGUUAACUGGAAACGGGCUGUGUAGUUUAGGCAUGCAUGGAGCAUUAUAGACAGCUCAGACUCUGAAAGACUGGAAGCAGAAAUGAGUCAUUUACUAGGACCAUCUUUAAGAUGGCAGAAAUAUAUAUUUACACUAUGUAGAAUUUAAUCAGUGUUUUAAUCAGUCACAGGUUUUUAAUGGGAGUAGACCUUUGUUCUUUCCCUGGUUAUAAUUUUGCAUCUUUCAAUUCUUUCUUUGGGAAGCAAGAUGAGUUUUGCCAUGUGUUAAAGUUUUUUCUCCAUGUCUUUGUUUUCCUUGACAUCUACUUGCUCAUCACAUCUUGAAAACUCCCAGGAGAGGGCCUGACUUGCUUUGGGGUGGUUGAAGCACCUUACUCCUGACUAUCUCUCAGUGAUUCCUUUCCCUCACUCAGUAACAAGAACCUUAAUUCAUCCAGCUUCCUGAAGCAGUGUGCUAGAAAAGAGAGUGCAGGAGUGCUCCAAGGCUUGUACGAUCACUCAGAGAGACGAUUGCUGUAGACUCAACAUCUCCACACACUGGAUAUUUGUUACAGCCAUAAGCUGCUUUGCAGCUCUGGACACAUGGAUUCAUAGAAUCAUUUCAGUUGGAAGAGACCCCCAGGAUCAUCGAGUCCAACCAUAACCUAACCUAACUCCAGCACUAAACCAUGUCCCUAUGAACCUCAUCUAAACACUUUUCAAACACCUUCAGGGAUAGUGACUCCACCACAUCCCUGGGCAGCCUGUUCCAAUGUCUGACAACCCUUUCCGUGAAUAAAUUUUUCCUAAUAUCCAAUCUGAACCUCCCCUGAUGCAACUUGAAGCUAUUUCCUCUUGUCCUAUCACUUGCAUGCCCUUGCUUGUCCUAUUGCAUGCUUGUCCUAUCACAUGAAGAGCUUUCCCAUGUUACCUGAUAAGCCAAAUUACUUAUCUCCACAAUUCUUCAAAUAAAUUUCCCGAUAUGCCGAUGGGUAUAGGAAAAGA
Long non-coding RNA from Columba livia (rock pigeon), 1273 nucleotides. RefSeq lists it as uncharacterized. The transcript is spliced from 4 exons. Lineage: Eukaryota; Metazoa; Chordata; Aves; Columbiformes; Columbidae. The record is from RefSeq and is a predicted model, not a curated record.